This 492-nucleotide ribosomal RNA is filed under the name uncultured bacterium. RNAcentral's name for it is "partial 16S ribosomal RNA". It matches the Rfam family "Bacterial small subunit ribosomal RNA", at positions 29 to 507 of the family's 1533-position model. The record is from RNAcentral.
AGUGAACGCUGGCGGUAGGCCUAACACAUGCAAGUCGAACGGCAGCACAGUAAGAGCUUGCUCUUACGGGUGGCGAGUGGCGGACGGGUGAGGAAUACAUCGGAAUCUACUUUUUCGUGGGGGAUAACGUAGGGAAACUUACGCUAAUACCGCAUACGACCUACGGGUGAAAGCAGGGGAUCUUCGGACCUUGCGCGAUUGAAUGAGCCGAUGUCGGAUUAGCUAGUUGGCGGGGCAAAGGCCCACCAAGGCGACGAUCCGUAGCUGGUCUGAGAGGAUGAUCAGCCACACUGGAACUGAGACACGGUCCAGACUCCUACGGGAGGCAGCAGUGGGGAAUAUUGGACAAUGGGCGCAAGCCUGAUCCAGCCAUACCACGUGGGUGAAGAAGGCCUUCGGGUUGUAAAGCCCUUUUGUUGGGAAAGAAAAGCAGCAGGUUAAUACCCCGCUGUUCUGACGGUACCCAAAGAAUAAGCACCGGCUAACUUCGUG